This 867-nucleotide long non-coding RNA is filed under the name Lactuca sativa (garden lettuce). RNAcentral describes it as "long non-coding RNA (LSAT_LNC002354)". Lineage: Eukaryota; Viridiplantae; Streptophyta; Magnoliopsida; Asterales; Asteraceae. The record is from RNAcentral.
AAGUAUGUGUCUGAAUCGGUCGUAUCUAUCCGUAAUCUAACGUUUGAAAGACUUGUGAAUAAUAGCAGUUGUGGGGCACUUAUGGAUAAUUUCACUUCUCCAAGUCCUCUUUUGUAUUCCAUCUCAAUCGUAUCCUUCAUCACUCUCUACAAAUGCACAAACAAUACCAAUUAUACUGCUCAAACCGAUGCUUAUUUUGGCGGAUCUAAUUACCAUAGAUACAACACAUGCAAAAACCACAAAUUCUACUAUAAGUAUAGUAUAAGUGAUACAACAGUUCCAAGCGAUCUCCCACCUACAUGUCAAGUAAUACGCCUACCCGUCAAAUUAGUGCGAGGGCCAGAAGACAAUAAAGGAAUUAACGAAACCGACAUAUUUUCUUUUCUCUCCCCUCGCUUCUCUAUUUAUUUUCAUUUGUCACCUUCCUGCCAUAAGUGUCACCAGGAAGGCGGCCAGUGUAACACUCUCCGUGAACAUGUUCUGUGUCUAGACGCCAAAAAGGGUACACCAAAUAUAAAUCGUCUAUAAGCAUAUUCGUAAAAUAAAAUUUUCAUGUCUUAUCUUUUGUUGUUUACUUGCAGAAGAAAAAACAGGCAGAAAACUGACACGAAUCCUAAGUAAUAUAUCUCCUUGAUUGAAUGCAACAUCAAUAGAUAUAUAAAUGCAUAAUCACAUAUAUAUAUAUAUAUAUAUAUAUAUAUAUNAUAUAUAUAUAUAUAUAUAUAUAUAUAUACAUGUAGGAAUUUGUACCUGAUGCUAUUUCCUUGUCUUGCUCUAGUUCUUGCUGGAUCUGCCUUCAUCCUCAUGCUGUUUCUUGUCAUCUUCAUAAUCUGGUGUCUGUACAAGCGCAACCCUAUUUCAUAUUGC